CUACCCUUGACAUGUCUGGAAUCCUGAAGAGAUUUGGGAGUGCUCGAAAGAGAGCCAAAACACAGGUGCUGCAUGGCCGUCGUCAGCUCGUGUCGUGAGAUGUUGGGUUAAGUCCCGCAACGAGCGCAACCCUUGUCAUUAGUUGCUACGAAAGGGCACUCUAAUGAGACUGCCGGUGACAAACCGGAGGAAGGUGGGGAUGACGUCAGGUCAUCAUGGCCCUUAUGGGUAGGGCUACACACGUCAUACAAUGGCCGGGACAGAGGGCUGCCAACCCGCGAGGGGGAGCUAAUCCCAGAAACCCGGUCGUAGUCCGGAUCGUAGUCUGCAACUCGACUCCAUGAAGUCGGAAUCGCUAGUAAUCGCAGAUCAGCAUUGCUGCGGUGAAUA
This 390-nucleotide ribosomal RNA is filed under the name uncultured bacterium. Its description in RNAcentral is "bacterial SSU rRNA". It matches the Rfam family "Bacterial small subunit ribosomal RNA", at positions 975 to 1368 of the family's 1533-position model. The record is from RNAcentral.